CCUACGGGUGGCAGCAGUGAGGAAUAUUGGUCAAUGGGCGGAAGCCUGAACCAGCCAAGUAGCGUGCAGGAUGACGGCCCUACGGGUUGUAAACUGCUUUUAUAAAGGAAUAAAGUGAGGCACGUGUGCCUUUUUGUAGGUACUUUAUGAAUAAGGAUCGGCUAACUCCGUGCCAGCAGCCGCGGUAAUACGGAGGAUCCGAGCGUUCUCCGGAUUUAUUGGGUUUAAAGGGAGCGUAGAUGGGUUGUUAAGUCAGUUGUGAAAGUUUGCGGCUCAACCGUAAAAUUGCAAUUGAUACUGGCAGCCUUGAGUACAGUUGAGGUAGGCGGAAUUCGUGGUGUAGCGGUGAAAUGCUUAGAUAGCACGAAGAACGCCGAUUGCGAAGGCAGCCUACUAAACUGCCACUGACAUUGAUGCUCGAAAGUGUGGGUAUCAAACAGGAUUAGAUACCCUGGUAGUC
Molecule: ribosomal RNA, 460 nt
Filed under: uncultured bacterium
Lineage: Bacteria
Description: partial 16S ribosomal RNA
Rfam family: Bacterial small subunit ribosomal RNA
Source: RNAcentral